Lampris incognitus (smalleye Pacific opah) is the source of this 2328-nucleotide long non-coding RNA. RefSeq lists it as uncharacterized. Lineage: Eukaryota; Metazoa; Chordata; Actinopteri; Lampriformes; Lampridae. The record is from RefSeq and is a predicted model, not a curated record. The transcript is spliced from 3 exons.
CAAGCCAGAAGCGGCAACCUGAAAUACGACUCACGUCCUCAGGCAAGCGUACGUCAUCUAGCUAACGUUAGCGGACGUGUGUUCGUGCUGUGUUUUUAGGUGCCGGAAUCGAAGAGGUAAUAAACUAAACUCCAAGUUUUAUCGCACACCAGCGGCCGCUCCCAGUCCAAAAGAUCGGCGACAACUGUGGUUAAACGCGAUAAGACGGAAGGACUGGACUGAGGACGGCAUUCAAAAUGCUCGUGUUUGUAGCGCGCACUUCAUAUCAGGAGAGGCCUCUUUGGAUAAACACAGCCCAGACUUCAUCCCCUCUGUGUUUUCCUAUGGAUGACAGUGUGGCAGGCCUGCGGAGAAAUUGGGAGAGGCUGCAAAGGAAAAGGAAGAAGAAGCUGAGGCUAUGAUCCCACAAGAAGCAUACAACAGUCUCAGUCAAAAGUAUGACCACCUCAGUACUGAAUAUGGCAACUUGAGAAAAGACUAACAAACUCAAAGAGGAGCUCCAGAAAUCACGCUUCUCAUUCUCCAUGGUCAGAAACAAUGCUGCACACUUUCGGGUUCUCACUGGGCUAACUUCAGUCGUUUUCAUUUGGUUAAUGACAAAAAUAAAAGAUAGUGUGCAGAAGUGUACUGUAGGUCUCAUGCUGGAAGAUAAUUUAUUAUUGGUCCUUGUGAAACUGAGAUUGGGGCUCAGUAACAGAGAUAUAGCAUAUAGGUUCAAAGUUUCAGAAGGCACAAUAUCAAACAUUCUAAGAUCCUGGUUGCCUGUAAUGGCAAAUGUAUUGAAAUCUCUUAUCAAGUGGCCGACUAGGAGUGCUGUCCUUAAAAAUAUGCCAAAGAGUUUCAGGCAACAUUUCAAGAGAUGCCGGUGUGACUGUACAGAGAUUUUCGUGGUGAGACCUACUAACUUGACCGGUAGAGCUCAAACCUGGUCCAAUUACAAACAUAAUAACACAGUUAAGUACCUGGUGGGAGUAACACCUGCAGGGGCAGUUUCAUUCCUGUCCCCAGGCUGGGGUGGGAGUGUCAGAUAAGCAAAUAACAGUUGAAUCAAGGUUUUUGCACCUAUUAGAACCAAAAGAUGAAGUCUUAGCAGACAGGGGAUUUUUGAUCAGGUAUGAGCUUGCUGCAUAUGGUGCCACCUUGCGUAUACCAAGUUUCACUAAAGGAAAGCGUCAGUUACCUGCUUCUGAAGUAGAUUCGUCAAGACAACUGUCUCGUGUGAGAAGACACGUAGAGAGAGUUAUAAGCAGAUGGAAGAGUUUCAAAAUUUUGCAUUCUGUUAUUACUGUUUCACAAGUUAACGUCUUGGAUGACAUGGUGAUUGUGUGGUGCGCUUACCAAUCUCAGAUUUUUUUAAGAAGAGGAGGCAGAAAUAUCUUUGUUGGGUCAACAAGUGGUUUAUGCGCCACACUUUUCUGCCCUGGAACAAAAUGCUUAUGGAGCAGCCAGUUCUUUUUAAUGUAAUGUGACUCUUUAGUAUGGCUAUCCCAUUCACAUAGGAAUCAACAGUAUUUGUAUAUCCGAGCUGCAUUCCUAGUAGCAGUGCCAAUACUUUUAGAUCACCACAGAUGUUCAUGUCAUAAUUGUUGUACUGUAUGUGUUUCAACAACAGUUCCAUGUUAUUGUAGGUUUCUUUCAUGUGUACUACAUAGUCAAUGGGUACUGAAGGGUGGACAUUGCCAUUGUGUAACAGGACAACUUUCAGCCUUAACAUUGACAAAUCUAUAAAAAGAAGCCAUUGUUGUGGGUCAUGCACACAACCCAAAGCCAUGAACAAUCCAUCAAUGUCAGUGCAGAAACAGAGGUUGUCAACCUCUGUAAAGAAGUUUGUCAAAUGUACUUGAUGGUUCUGAAAGAUAGACAUUUUUGUACCUGGUGACAGCAAACCCCAUACUUGCAAUGUUGAACCAAGGAGUUCUGCUUUACCUUGUGACAAAUGUAAGUCUCCAAGCAGAUCAUUUAAUUCUGGCUGUGUUAUCAGAUGGGGAUAACCAGGGUUCAACUUCUAGAUCAGUGACGUUUUCCACAUCUGGUUCAUGCGUGGUGGCAUCUUCAUCUGCCUCUUCUAGGCUCCAUGUCUGUGGUGGCUUUGGUCCUGGCAAACUGUUAUCAUGUGGCACUGAUCUCAUGGCUGAAAGCAGAUUGGGGUAUUCAAUAGAUUUGUUAUAUUUAGUAAAGACUAGCAGAGGUACCCAGCAUUGCCCUGGGAAAAUGUUCUCACCAAAACAACCAACACGAUUUGAUCUUUACGAUAUCAUCGAUGAUGAAAUAUAGGAUAAUUUAUGAUAUGAUACAUGUGAUAAAGGAAUGUUGAAUAAACGAAUCUUA